GACGAACGCUGGCGGCGUGCCUAACACAUGCAAGUCGAACGGGGUGUAGAGAGCUUGCUCUUUACACUUAGUGGCGAACGGGUGAGUAACGCGUGAGGAACCUGCCUUCCAGUGGGGGACAACAGUUGGAAACGACUGCUAAUACCGCAUAACAUAUUCGAGGGGCAUCCCUUGAAUAUCAAAGCUUUAUGUGCUGGAAGAUGGCCUCGCGUCUGAUUAGCUAGUUGGUGGGGUAACGGCUCACCAAGGCGACGAUCAGUAGCCGGUCUGAGAGGAUGAACGGCCACAUUGGGACUGAGAUACGGCCCAG
Molecule: ribosomal RNA, 310 nt
Filed under: uncultured bacterium
Lineage: Bacteria
Description: bacterial SSU rRNA
Rfam family: Bacterial small subunit ribosomal RNA
Source: RNAcentral